UCAUAGCGCACUCCACUGAAUGAGUGGCAGCGUGAAAUCCUACGGGAGGGGAGAAACUUCUGCUAAGUAUGUUUGACUAACAUGCAAAAACAAAUAAUUGGCAGGAAAUUCACUUUUAAUUGAUUAUUUUUAAAAGUUAAAUGAAUGGUUAGAGAGUGGUGCCUUUCAGCAUUAAUUAUCAGUGGUGACUCACUCUGUGACUAUGAUAAGGCAUAGACUCAGAUGGUAAAUUGGCCUCUAAAAGGGCCAGUUUAGCUUCUGAAAAUGUAAAGAUCUGAUACAAGACUGUAGAGUGUGUGUGUGUAUAUGUGUGUGUGUUUUUAAUAGGUGCACUGAAAAUUGUGUGACUGCAGGCAAACUAGCAGACAGGCACACUCGAGCUCAAUUGGGCAGGGGCCUAGGUGGAGCCAGACUUUGGCUCAAUGUCUCCCUGCUUCCUGCCUACAUGCAUUGUGACUUUUAGCUAUAUGUAUAAAAUCUGAUGUGUAAAUAUGCGCUUACUUCCAUAUAGGUAGUGACCUCGGACCCAGAAACAAUAACCCUCAUUCCCCCCCACCCCAUGUUUCAAAUACCAGGCAGACUGGAUGGAACAGUUAACAACUGUUAUAUUUUCACCUGCUAGAGCCGCUAAAGUGAUAAACUUCACUCCCCCAUCCCCACUCCCACCCAACUAAAAAUUAAUUUAAUUCUUUAAAAAGCUCAUAGGUUAGUUUAUUCAGCCUAAUAUCACAUAUUGUGCACAUCCUGUAAAUUUUUGCAAGUUGUAUUUAAUGAAUUGGUCAGGACGGAGAUUGUAUUUUUAAAUAACGUUUGUACAGGUCACAUUUAAGGCUGUCGUAGAUUUUAAUAAAUCAAGUGAUUUUACUUGGUUGAUUUUUAUAAAUCAAGGUAGACUUGAACUAAUUUUUAUAAACAGAUAAAGGAACUGAGUAUUAUAAAUCUUCGUCCAACAAGUAGUACAAGUCUUGCAGGAAACACUGGUUACUUUUCACUGUUUCACCUGUCUUUAAUAGCUUCUGGAUCACUGAUCCCAUCUCUCGGUUCUUGCAGAAGAUAGAUCAUUCAGUCAGGAAUUACUUGUUUGCAUUUCAGUCGUCAACUGACGAUUGUCAUCCUCUUUAUUCCUGUGCUUUUGGUAAUUAUAUCUUCCCCACCCUCAUUUAUUUAACUUCCUUUUUGUUUGGAGGAACUUUUGCCAUCAAUGGAGCAUCCUAAUUAAUCCUUUGGAGCUCCUCUUUGUCCCCAGUGAGCAGGUGGGUCAGGGAACCUUAUUCUGUGGGGAGAGCCCAAGAGUGAAUGUUUUUAUUUAAACCUUUGUGAAGUGUUUGGAGACCUUGCCUGUUCAAAACAACAAUUUUAAUGCUGCAAACUCCAGCCGUCCUUUCCCUCCUCUCCUGUGCAUAACCCCAUGGGCGACCCAGAGUAUGAUUUACUCUCUUGACUUUGGGCAGAUAUCCUUCCUCCUUCUGUGAAGUGAGAUAUGUUCUGCCCUCUGAGAUAAGGUACCUCACUUUUCUGAGGUGCAAAGUGAACCACUUUUCUGGACUCUGAACUUUCUGGCAGUGAAGUUAUCCUGACACUAAUGGACUGUAGAUCAGAAGCCUCUUGUUAAAGUGUAAUAAACAGUGCUAAGAGACAAGGACUUAGUUAACUUUCUGGAGUGUAAUUCUGUGUUCAGCCGGUGGGUAUUAAAAUCCACUGUUAGAGGAGUUGUGGGUAACCUUUAGUUUUGAAUGUAUUGUUCUUCAGCUUAGAUGUUUUUAGUUCAUUCACAAGCCCAUAACUAAUUACCCAUGAAUUGAGCAACUUUCUAGGCCAUUUCCAAGGCAGUUAAGAAUCAACCACAUUGACUGAGAAUUAAGAUCCCUUGUGAAUAACAUUUGUGAACCAGAUGGGUUUUUAUGACAAAUUAGUAAUUUCAUAGUCAUUGUUACAGAUUCUGGAUGUUAAUUCCAGAUUUGUUAAUCAAUUGAAUUGAAAAAUGUUUGUGGUGAGACUUGAACUCUCUCCUCAGCAUUGCUAGUCUAGGCCUCUGGAUUACUAGUCUACUAAUGCAACCACUGGCCUACCAUAUGACCUAUUAAUGUGCACCCCCUUGCCACAAUAUGCUGGAAGUUUGUCUUCUGCAAACUUUGGAAAUACAUAGACAUUUUCCAUUCCCUUUUUUGAUGAUGUUCUUUAAAAAUUGACCAUGUUUAAAAAUGGCAACAAUAGGACAAGUCUUUAAGAGUGUUCUCAGAAGAGUGCUUUCUGGAAUGUACAGCAACUCUACAUUCGGAACCCUAGUUUUCUGACCCUACCAGUGAUGUUCUACAUAAACAGAUCUUGUCUAAGGCAGUAUUUAAAGAGCCCUUAAAAUCCUGCAUCAGAACCAAAGCUUGGUGCAAACUUAGAUUGUUUCUUUCUCUGUAAAAGUAACCUGUAGCAGAGGAGAUUAAGGUUUUAAUGUGCCUACCAGCCAGUGUUGGCAGCUCGCUGAACCUUUCUUUGAUGCUGUACUUGUAUACAAACCCAGAGAAUUCUCCUGUUUUCGAUGAUUGCAUCUAAAUGUAAGCAUAAUUUCCACUUUGCCAGAUCACAAAGUAUUCCAGCCGCUUUAAACAUCUGGAGGUAGCAGCAAGCACUUAUUUAGUGUAAUGACCUGCAGAGAGUAAAUCCAGAUAGUUGAUGUGGUUGAAAAAAAUUUGAGAUUUAACCAGUCCAGCUGAUGUGUGGAAUGUUAUUUUCUGGUCUCUGCAUAGUUUGAAGAUAAACAGGAGAAGAUUGAGUGGUGCUGUGUCAGCAUGGAUUUGAGCUGCUUGUAUAAUGGUUUAAGUGCACUGCCUGAGAGGUCCUGCUUCAUUGGUGUAAUUCACCGCGGGAUGCCUGAAAAAACAUGCAAUAGGCACUAUGUAAAUGUAAAUAUUUUUUCUUUCUAAUGCAUUGGAUGCAGCACAAAACCUAAUUUGCCUCAUUCCCAAAGACUGAUGGACAGGAGAUUCUGGUGAAAUGGAAGCCUUGGUUUUCCCCUCAGGAGCUGGGACCACUGUCUUGGGUCUUACAAAAUGGUGGACAUGAGUCUGGCUGGUGGAGAGUUAGGAGACUGGCUUGGAACAGAAGUAACCAAGACUUUUUUAACUGUGUAGUUAUCGGUAAAUCAUUCAGAGAUGAAGUAACUACCUGUCUGCAGUUUAGCAACUAAGAAAUUACACAAGGUUAACUUUGCUAGAACAUUGUUGGUUAACUUGUCUUGAGAACAGUGGUUACAGACUAAGGCUAAAAAUGAGGAGCCAGUAACUAGGUUUAUGUUUUUGAUGUGGAGAGGGACAGUUGUUAGAUGGAUAUAUGUUUUCCACAUUAUUUAUACUGUUGCCUUUACAUGCAACUCUGUGAAUCUAUUGUUCAGCCUGAGCCAUUAGCAAUGCCAAAGUGUAGGGUUCGGUUUGGGCUCUGAAGGUUAAAGCUUGAGUGUGAGAUGAAACACUCCAGUUCUGCUCACUCCUCAUUGGGCUGACCUCUGUAGUUAAAUCACCCGUGGACUCAGGGCUGCCUUCCAAAUGUGAUUACAAAGAAUACACUGGUCAUUUAGACUUAUUUUUUUCUGUUACUUGAAUCUACUUUUCACUAGUUUCAUUUCCUUACUGUAAAGUAAAGGGACUUGACUUGUGGAUUGAUCUAUCACUUCAGAAAUUGAUGCCUUAUGUAGGUCAACCUUUUUAAAUCGGACAGUUGUGAAUGUUUUGUUUCAGUUAGGGUGACCAAGGUGCAGGGCUAAAACAUUGCGAGGUCCAGAUAACUUUGAACCUGGUGGGGUUCUGCUGUUUCUGAAGUAAAAUACUAAGUAGAAAUUGAAACUCUCUGGUCCGAUAUUCUGUGGUAUGACAACUCCCCAUGGUCCGGCAGAUCUGUAGUAAUUAACUAAUUCUAACUAAGAUAUAAAAUUAACUAAGAUCUUCAUAAUCUGUAGCUAAUUAAACUACCAAUGCAACUUCUGCGAUCUUGGCUGACAACAUUUCUGACUUGGGUUACAACCAUAAGACAUAGGAGCAGACGUAGGCCAUUCAGCCCAUCGAGUCUGCUCUGCCAUUUAAUCAUGGCUGGUUUAUUAUUCCAUCUCAACCCCAUUCUCCUGCCUUCUCCCCAUAACCUCUGGCACCCUUACUAAUCAAGAACCUAUCAACCUCUGCUUUAAUUAUACCCAAUGACUUGGCCUCCACAGCCAUCUUGGCAAUGAAUUCCACAGAUUCACCACCCUCUGGCUAAAGAAAUUCCUCUUCAUCUCUGUUCUAAAGGGAUGUCCUUUUACUCUGAGGCUGUGCCCUCUGGUCCUAGACUCUCCCACGACUGGAAACAUCCUCUCCACGUCCACUCUAUCCAGGCCUUGCAAUAUUCAGUAGGUUUCAGUGAGAUCCCCCCUCAUCCUUCUAAACUCCAGUGAGUACAGACCCAGAGCCAUCAAACAUUUCUCACAUGUUAACCCUUUCAUCCCUGGGAUCAUUCUCAUAAACCUCCUCUGGACCGUCUCCAGUGCCAGCACAUCCUUCCUUAGAUAUGGGACCCAAAACUGCUCUCAAUGUGGUCUGACCAACGCUUUACAAAGCCUCAGCGUUACAUCCUUGCUUUUAUAUUCUAGCUCUCUGGAAGUGAAUGCUAACACUGCAUUUGCAUUCCUUACUACUGACUCAACCUGCAAGUUAACCUUUAGGGAAUCCUGCACAGGGUUACGCACAGUUCUUGGAGCCCUUAUGUGACCAGGGGAGUGUCCGUAGUUAAAAAGAACAGUUCUCCUGCUUGGAGUAAGAUGAUCGGGAGUGAUUUCUGUGGUCUGGAUUUUCUGUGAUCAGGCACCAGACAGGUUCCAAGGGUGCCGGACUUAAAGAGUUUCAACCUGUAACGUUUUACUUGCGGUUACUGUUGUUAUGGAGGAAUAGUAUGAGUUAACCCUUGGGUAAGGUUCUGGAUUGAUAGCCAGAGGAACCAAAUACUUUGUUCCCUGAAUUUUGCCACAGCUGUAGCCCUGUUAAUGUGUCUUUAGUUGAUGUGAGGACCCCUUGCCACUGGUUAUAGAGCUUACUCCACACUGAAUGGAAUUUUGUUUUCUCCUUUUACUCAGAGGGUACUUUCAAUUGAAAGAGUAAAAGCUUAAAUGGAGCUGCCAAAGUCAUGUGAGACUAUCAGCCAACCCUGGGUCUUCUGUACACACCAUGUGGGCAGUAAGGGGGUUUUUAGGAAUGCCAUUAACUCAACCCACAAUCUGCUUCCUGCAAAACUUGAAUUUCUACUCCCCAGCCGAAUGCCUCAGUAAAUUCACUUUGAUCCAGGGACUCAGUGAGGUCGUCCAUUACUUUUGCUCCCCCAUUUUACCCAUUGUUUUCCUACCUGACUCGAGGAACCAAAAGCUAUUUGCAGCUCUCUGUGUAUCUGUAUGGUAUUUUCACAAUUCUUAAAGACUGGAUGUGCGAUGGUAAAUGAAAUCCACUACAAUGGUAACUACACUUCAAAAUUACUUCAUUGACUGUUAAAUGCUUUGAGACAUCAUGAAAGGAAUAAGUAAGGUGCUAAACAAAUGCAAGUCUUUUUUCUUUCUUACCUUCAUUAGAAACCGUUAAAUGCUUGGUUGAUUGAAGGGCCACAGUGCUAUUUCUAUCUGUCUCCCAAUCCCUAUUUUGAGAACUGACUCUUCAUCAUUAAAAAUCAUGAAGCAAUCUGUAUGUGAUUAUCAUCAAAUUUGUUAAGAGCCAGCAGUUAGACCAGAAAACUGCUUUAUUAGUCGGGUUCUGCAUGCGAAUUUUACUUUCCAGUGAGAAAUGUACUGAAGAAUUCUUGAGUAGAUGGAAGUACCCAAAGGUGUGUGUGUUGCUAGCUUGUCACACUGAACCUGACCGAUUAAAACAGAAGACCAUUUUCUGUUUUUGUCUUGAAAGUUUGUACUCAUUCAGCCCCCUCUUCUGUCCCCACUUCCCACUCCUUAUGUACCAUUGAACCAAUGCUGACUUAGCUCUGGGUUAUUAAGCUGUGAUUUUUGUCCAACCAGUAGAUAUUUAUUUGGAUAAUGUUAGACAAGUCAGUGGAGCUAUUUCUGUGCUGCUAAAACCCAUCUAGAACGUAACUUGGUUUAAGCUCUAACACGUGCCCUUCUGACUGAUGACAUUUGGCAACUUGUGGAAGGGAUAAGUUUAGCCAUUUGCUCUCCUAUUAAGUACCGUAGCCACAUCUCAAUCUUGUCUGUCUCUACCAAAAGACUUAACGUUUAAUCCAUAGUUUGGGAUGAUUAAAAAGAAAAGCAUUUCCAAACACUUAAGGUUAAUUUACGUUUGAGAUGAGCAGUGGCCAGAAUUUCCAGUUCUCAGUGGAUGGCUUCCGAAUCAUCCUGGCAUGUAUGUGUGUGUGUGCGCGCGUGUGGGGUGUAAGAUAGGCUUGUUCAUUUAAAUGUAUAUGUUUGCAAAAAUACUGCACAACUUGUUUGAGUUUAUUAUAUUUAUGGCUGGUGUAUAAUUUAACUUGAUUUAUUUGAAGCUGGAGGGCAUGUAUUACACAGGGGAGUGAGAAAGUAAAGCUGCUGUAUUCCUUUCUAAUGUCUGUUUGUUUCUUUGGGCAACUGUUAACCAUUUGCUGGGGUUCAAUGGCUCUGCACUGUAACGGGGUAUUGAGUUCGAUAGCUAGUGAUCCGCUGUGCUGAACGUGAGCCUCCUUCACAAAAGUGUCCACUUUGAUUAAGCCCUUCUUCUGAUCUCCUUUGCCCCAGGACGUUCAAUGUUCCAUUGCUUCUGCAGUCAGCUCCAUAAGUAAGGAGAUCUUCAGGUGGAAGUUACUUUCCCUGCUUUUUAUCAGAUCUCAGCCAAGUCAAACACACAGUGAGAAGGAUUUCACCUUGGAGAGGAAGAGAUGAGCACAAGUGCCUCCUGCUGUGGCCUAGCACUCUGUUCGCCAGUUGCGGGUACUGCUGUUUCCACAUAUCCUAAUGAUACUGUUGGCCAUUUCGACCCAUUCAGUAUAUGCUGGCUCAUAGAGUAAUUCCAUUCCCCAGUAAUUUUCCCUGCAACAUAUUCUCCUCACAUUCCUAUCAGCUCCCCCCGGAUCUACCAGUCAUUUACAGUCGCCAAUUUUCCCACCAACCUCCACGUCUUUGGGAUGUGGGAGAAAGCCAGGCUAUCUGGAAGAACCCAUGUGGUCACGGGGAGAACAUCGAAGCUCCACUCCGAAAGUACUGGAGGUCAGGCUCGAAUCUGGGUUGCUGAAACUGCAAGGCAGCAGCUCCACCAGCUGCGCCACGUUUUAUUGGAGAGGUCAAGUCUGCAGCCAGCUUGACUCUCCCGCCAUCUCACUGAAGCAAGGGCUUGGUGGGAAUGGGCAGAGACAGCAUGGGACAAAGGAAAUGAUGCCUGCCACUGAACAACAUGCACAACUGAGACCUCACGGGGAGGAUGUGUUACAACUGAGCACUAUGCAGGGGGACAGGGAAAUAGGGAGAUGGCGAUAAAUGAGAAAUAAUAUCGGUCAUAUAGUUAGUUAUUUAGGACAGGUUGAAAGGAUUGGAGGAAUAGUUUAAGCAUCUUAGUUGGGAGCAGACCUGUAGCUGAAAAACCAGACUUUUUGUGCACUGGUGAUGCUUCUAGAGUUCAACUUGGUUGCUCAGUGUCCAAGAGGUUUACUCACGUAAUGGAAUGAAGCAGUAGCACCACUUGCGACAGAACCUUUGUUACAAAGGGCAGUGCAAUGGUUUACAAUGCUAUUUAUACACUCAUUAUUUAUUUAUGAUGUGGACUGGCUGUUGUUGCUGUCGGAUCUGGUUAUUUUUGAAUCUGCAGGUUCUUUCAGGAGUCCAGGAAUGAGUUGAAAGCAACUUGGUGCUUCACUAAGUUUUAUUGGAAAGGUUUAAAACAAAGAAACAGUCACAGAGCACAUGGCACUAGCUUUACUAUUAGGAGAUGAGCCGAGACAAAAGGAACUAAAGAUGAGCUAGGGCCAGGGGGGGAAGUGAGCAAGAGAGAGAUUGACAAAAACCGACACUUUUUAUACCUGAGAUAAGAGGUCCUCCUUAGCUAACAACAGUCCAAUCAGGAAACCUAUUAGAUAUCUGUGGCCAAACCAACCAAUGAAAAAACACAUUCACCUGAUGGACGAACCAAUAAGCUAGGAAGCAGCCAUUCCUUGUUCAGCCAUUUGAGGUGCAUUAAAUACUAUACAUGUUUUAAAAAACUACAUAAAACAGUCAAAUCCAACAUUGCUGAGAAGGAUCCUUCAGUAAAGUCCCAGCAAUCGACAAACUUACUUUGAAGCCAUCAAGCAUUUCUCCCUGCACCGUGCCCAGCGAGCAACAAGGCCAGCAGAAAGGUUGAAGUGGCGCCAAAGUUCUUUCCUCUGAUAACUCUGCAAGGUAACAAAAUACAGGGAGUCACCAGCAUACUACUUUCUCUCAGGGGUUCAGGCAGCCAGAAUAAUGUGAGCUUGUUCUGUUAUGACUUCUCUGAGCUCUGCGUCAAUUAAUCGGGUUAGAAUUGGGGAAACAACUGCCCCGCUUGAAUUUAUUCUCCUCUGCAGUACUGCAGUGAGCUCUGCAACAGAGACCCUGGCUGGAAGCUGGCACAGACCAGUGCCAUAAAUGAACUGAACUAGCCUCCCAUAGUGAAUUUGACACCAUCUGGUCAUCAGACCAUUAGCCCUUGUUCUGCCCUCCAACAGGCAGAUUAUUUAUAUUACAUAAUUGGUCAUCUAGCUGGCAUUGGACAAGCGAUGCCGAUGUUGCCACCUUGGAAGUUUUAAUAAGCUUGCUGUAAAUUCUGUGAACGUAAUGAUGGGUUUCAUCUUUCCCUUGUCAGCCAUGAAUUAAGUAAGUGGAUGUGACACGGAUUCCAUGCUAAUUUUAAACUACUUUGUGUGUACAACCCACGGACUGUUAAAUGAAGUGUUGCGUUUGAGUGAGGUAUUCAUUAAGUUUGAAAAUGACCCUUGCAGAAAAAUUGAAAGGAAUACAGCAGCUUUAAAAGGGGACACUCAAAAAAUAAAUGGAGCCCUGUCUAGCUGAGAUUUGCUGGUUUUUAACUGGAGAAUCACUGGAUAACCUGGUGUUGGAUGUGGCCGUAUUGAUUCUAGAGCUGCGGACAGGAAAGCAACAAGAAAGGUACCAAAUGGAAAAGUACAGCUAUAAUAGUGGGACUCUAUGCUGAGUCUGGUCACAGCGAGAGGUCAACAGGAGGACUGAGAAUAUAUAACGUCCUCACCAACCUGUGGGAAUCCCCGGCUUGUGACUGAUCAAAAUGGAGGAGCAUCCGGGUUGGCACUGAGAACGCUGAGACUCCUGGAUGGAAGUAUAGACGGUCCUGGACAGAAGUAUAAACUCCCUCAACACUCAAUCAGCCAUUCCAUUAGAUCUAUAUUCUUUGGAGUUUGGAAGAAUGAUCUUAUUGAAACAUAUAAGAUCCUUAAGGGGCAUAACAGGGUAGAUGUUGAGAUGUCUUCAU
Molecule: long non-coding RNA, 9440 nt
Organism: Pristis pectinata (smalltooth sawfish)
Lineage: Eukaryota; Metazoa; Chordata; Chondrichthyes; Rhinopristiformes; Pristidae
Exons: 3
Source: RefSeq, a predicted model, not a curated record